RNAcentral lists this long non-coding RNA (11502 nucleotides) under Triticum aestivum (bread wheat). RNAcentral describes it as "long non-coding RNA (TAES_LNC024563)". Lineage: Eukaryota; Viridiplantae; Streptophyta; Magnoliopsida; Poales; Poaceae. The record is from RNAcentral.
GGGAGCCUUUCGAGGCCCUGGGAACCAAGAGACCGCAAUCGCUACAGUCAGGCUGGCCGCGCUAGUAGGCCACAGAGCGCAUAUGUAAAGGGAACUUGUAAUUUUGUUUCUCCAAUGAGAGAUUAAUAAAGUGCAUGUUUCCCUAUGUUUAUUUGUGUACUUAGUACACUGGCACGCCCGCAUUUUUCUUUUCCCCGGCGCAUGAGAGAAAUCCACACUUCUUCUCUUCCCUUCUCACGGAUAGCUUAUAAGAUUUUUCUCGUGUCAAACAAAUUGGCACGCCCGGUGGGACAUGGUUCUCCUCCCAUCUUGGCUUCGUUGUGGUCGUCGAAAUCGUCUUCGCCAAUCUCCAAUGUGCACAGCAUGCUGCAAGGAUCUUCGCCGGUAAGCCUCUUUCUUGCACGUGAACUCUCCCACAGUAGCAAAUCGGAGCUGUGAUGAUCUAGUAUGGAUGAUUGCCGCUUAUGGUCUUCGUCGAGCAUGGCACCAGGGUCUACAUCUACCAAGCCGAAGAUCCCGCGCAGUUUCAAACUAUGCAGUCAAAAAAAGCACAAAGGAGGGCGGCCACCAAGACGAUGGAGCGCCACGAGCUAAUGCUGGAGGUGCACCAUGUUGAAGGAGUCAUCAAGGGUAGACAUCCAUGAAGACGUGGAGGCAGCUCAACGCCUCCAUGCUAAUACCGUCAACAGGAGGGCUAGUGCGACAUCCUUUCAUCCUCUAUCCGGCUUGGCUCCCACUCAGAGCCGCCAACGCCAACACCACAACGUACCGAGGUGAAGCUAUACCUGAAGGCUUGGAGGCCAUCUCCCACAACCCGCGUAGGCUCAUGGUUGCAGGUAGGAUGAGGUGCCAAUCGCCAUGUCAUCAUCAUUAACAUGAGCGCCUCGAUGACAGUCUUCACCAACUCACCACUUAGAGUGGGGGCAUCCUAACAUGCCCCCAUGUUCGAAACGAUGGUCAUGACAUCAAUAUGAUGAGAGAAACCCUCGACCCACUCAACGGUGGAAGCCAUGCAUGGGACCUCCACAACAAACACUUCCACCACUACACGCAUCCCGCCUAGGCGGGGGCUCGGCCACAAUUCAAGGUGAUGGCGGACAGGGCUGAAUCACCCACUCGGCACCAUGCGCCACCACGUUCUCUACAGGUGAAGCGUCAUUAAUGCAGCCAUAAACUGGAGGUCUCCCGACGUGAUACAUGACUGGUCCAAGGUGGGGGUUGUUCACCCAUCGUCGAUAUGGAGCUAUCCUGAGGUGGUGUGCUGUCCACACCACUGUCGCCGUCGUGGAGUGCCCCAAGGCAGGGCGCUAUCUACACCGCCAUCGACAUGGAGCGCCCCGAACGCAGGGCGCCAUAUACCUCCGUUGGCACGGAGCUUGGCUAGGUGGAUCUCUUUCUUCUCCACCAUUGACACAGAUAUCUCAAAAGAUGGGGCGGCUUCUGGACCAUCAUCCCACAGCUUUCCCAGGGCGGGGAUAUCAUCUACGUUGCUGCCUCCCACUCGGAGCUUUGGUUCGGGGGGGGCUUUGUCUAAACCGCCGCCAACAAGGAGCUUAGCCUUGGGUGGUGGUCGGUCUACACCGUCACAGACAUGUUAACGCCCAAGGAGGAGCGCCAUCUACAUCGUCACCAACACUAAGCUCGCCUAAGGGCGAACCCCGUCUACACCAUCUUGGAGCUCCCCAAAGGCGGGCAGGACUUUUGUGCCUCUACCAACAAGGGGCUCGACCAAGGCGUGGUGACGUCCACACAGCCGCCAAUGUGGAGCUCACCAGACGUGGUGCAUCGUCAAGACCGCCUCCAAUGUGAAGCAUCACCCGAACGCGGGUGCCAUUUACAUAGCCUCAGGGCAUGCCUAUGGUGGGCGUGCCGCUUGCUCAUCGCCAACAUGGAGCGCACCAAAAGUUGGGCGCCAUCUACACCACCCGUGACCAUGUUGGAGGCGUCAUCAUCAACCUCCGGCAUAAUGAGGAACGCUGCUACAUCAAUAUGUCGUCACCAUCUUCAUCGAUGUCACACUCGGCGGGGACGCCGACUACAUCAACACGCUGCCAUCUGACUACAUUGACACGGUGUCGCAAUCUUCAUCAAGUCUUCAUCUAGCGAUGGUGUCGUCUACAUCGAUGCCGACGGAUGUCCACAUGACGUUGUCAUCUUCUUUGACUUACUACUUGGCAAAGACACAGACUUCACCGACACUUCGCCUUUCUUCUACACCGAGCGAAGGUCGUCCCCGUAACUGCGACGCCCCAAGGUCUACUCGACAAGCUAGUAUUGUCGUCAUCUUUAAGCACCACUGUCAUGCUGUGACACUCAAGUCUACUCCAACUUCUACAUCAACACACUUCUCGACAUCGUCCAAGCUCCGACGAGGCAAAUUUGUACUCCACCGACAUGUCUUUUCCCGAUGAAGUAAUCCAUAUCUUGCCAGGCACCGACGAGGCGAAGGCAAGUCAUCCAGUCCAACACCAACAAGGCGGACACCACCAGGCAGGGCACCGACGAGGCGAAGGCCGCCCACUUCAUCAUCGGACAAUCGACGAGACGGAGGGAUACGGCUUGGCAGAGCCGAAGCGAUGGACAUACCGCUCUCCCCUUCACUUCAUCACUACAUCCCCACCAUCUACACCAAGCCAACGGCGCAAUCGAAGCCUUCAACAAGACACUCAGGAGGAUACUCAAGAAGACGGUGACAAGGAAUGGGAGAGACUGGCAUGGUCAUCUCUUCGAGUCCUUAUGGGCGUACCGCGUCACGGUUCGUACCCCAACGCAGGCAACUCCGUUUUCUCUCAUUUACGGGAGUGAGGCAGUCCUACCACUGGAGGUCUAGCUACCCUCUUUGAGGGUCGCUAUCCAAGAUGAGAUCACCCAAGAUGAAUAGGUACAACUGCGUUUCCAAGAGAUUGACGCCCUUGAAGAGGGGCGAAUUAAUGCCCUACAGAACCUGGAGCUUUACCGCCAGAAUAUGGUGAGAGCUUACGACAAGCUCGUCAAGCAACACGUCUUCCGAAAGGGCGAGUUGGUUCUCGUGCUCAGACGACCCAUCGUCGUGGCGCACAAGACGAAGGGCAAGUCCGAGCCAAAGUGGGAAGGACCAUACAUCAUCGAGAAAGUCUACGACGAGGGAGCAUACCAGCUCAUCGAUUCCCAGGGAGUCCGACUUAUGCCCCCAAUCAACGGAAGGUUCCUCAAAAGAAUUAUUUUUCUUAAAAUUUUGCCUCUUUUGUUGCCUUUUGGAUUUUCAUUGGGGAAACUUUUUCUGUGGGCUUUCGGAUCCAUGAUGCAUUCUCCUUAGCAUUUUGUGGAUAUAUUUAGUUUUCCCCAAUUUUUACGGAUAAGUCCAACAACAACAAAAUGGCUUCCCCCUAUCGCACUACGUUGUUGAUUGAAGUUUAGGCUACCCUCGGACUUGUUGGAGGGCGGCACAAUGUGUCAAGUUGCAGGUGGAGCGGCUCCUACACCCACAAUGCACGACACGUACCAGGUGUAUGCUUCCGGAGGCAGCGGAGAUGAUUACUUGGGCACUUCUGAGUAUUGAGACCCCUCGCUCUUCAUGUUUCCCGGCAUGCCUCGUGUUCACAGAGGCUCGCACUCUAGGGAAGACUAUAGGAAAAGAUCAUGCAGGGCUGCCUGACCCAACCCAAGUUGGUUUGGUGCGUAGUCACAUGGCAACCCUGGGGUGCGCCACUAGAAGCCCAGAUAAAGUGCUAGAGGGUUUUUCCUAGUCCACAGAGGUGAACAGUUCCCUUCCAAGUUCCAAGGUAGGUCCCCAAGAAAUCCUGGAAGAAGAGUCCUCAAGGAGUUUGAGCCGAAUGUCAAAACAAGUCCAUGAAGUCCGCGGCCAAUCAAUCAUCCGCGUGAGCAAUCAAUAUGAAAUUUCAAAAGUCCAAGAAACAAAUUCAAGAAAAAUCCCAACAGUACAAGAAACAAUCAACUGGUCCCAAGCAGAAAGGCACCCACUGGAAGGAAGGCGGGAGGUAGUUGUUCACCACCCCUCGAUAUGCAUGAAGAAAAAUCGCCAAGCCAUUGUCCCAAAACCAUUUACCCUGAACUUAUCACACCCAAGUCUCUGGGCUCAUGAGGCGUGUGCAGGGGGCAUGUUGAGUUGUGGGGGCCCUCAGUAUGACUAUGGGCUAGAGUAUGAAUUUCUGCUGCCUCUCGGAAGCAUCCCGAAACACGGCAUCUUCAUACACGUUCACUGAAGCUAUUUAAGUUGUUGAGUUGCAAUCGUCAAGGUCUUUCGACGGUUCCCAAUGACAAGUUCCUUCGGUAGCCUUCUCGGAUAUCGCGCCUAGUAGCUGGUGUAUAACGGGAAAGCCAACAUAAAAAAAAAAUGUUUUUUCUUCAUUUUUUUCUUCCGCCUGUUUUUGUUUGGUGUUUCUAGUUGUGCUCCUCCAACAUCUUUGCAGCCAUGGAGAGACACUCCCUGUCAUCGUCGACGGCAUUCUGACGACAACCGCUACAUCGAACUACGUCCUGGGUGCUUGGGUGCAGCAGUACCCAUGCGUCCCUGACAACACCGACGACAGCCCGAUAACCAAUGGUCUACACCAACACGCACGAUGGGCGACAGAAGGCAACACCUGCACUCAUGGAGGUGGAGCCGAUUCGUCCCCGCAACCCUGUCUCCAACAACAAUGAAGCAUGGGGGCAAUGUCAACCCCUCAAUUAUUCGUAAGGCCGAUGACGUCCCGGCACACCACCAGAAUUGUCACACCAUGGAUGGUGUGACGGUUCGCUCAACCAAGGGGAGCUAUCGACGGUCUACCGAUGCCUCGCCUACAUGAACACAAAGAGAUCACAGGAGCAGUGCAACGCGCCAGUGCGGCCAGCGUGAAUAUGUGAAACCCUCCAAUCGAGUCGGCUGGCACCGUAGCAGCUAGAAGGUCGCAACGAGAUUGGUAAAAAAAUAUUUUUGUUUUCAGGACAAGGCAUGAUGUUUCGCCAUGGAAUGAAGACGAGAUAGGGUUUGCCUCAUAGAUAGGCAUCGUGCCUAUUAUACGAUCCAACGAGCACCCUAGAGAACGCAGGUGUGGAUGGACAUGCCUACACUAAUUUACAUUACUAUCAAUCAAUGAUCUUCGGGACGAUGCUCAAUAUCACUAACCUCGGGUCAAUACCUCUCUAGGCUGCACACAUGUUGAUGCGCCAAUUCGUUACAGAAAAAAUGUUUUCACCAAAUUAAGUUCGGUCGCUUCACACUCGAACUUUAUUUGGUGAGGGGGCAUUUUGUUCGAUGUUUUUUUAUAAUUUUUUAAAUAAUAAUAUUCUUUUUCUAAUGGCGCUCAUCACUCACAUAGUCUAUUUAUAGAUAUUUGAGUAUUUUUUUAGUGCAGAUUAUAUACAGAGGAAGAUUUGAUCGGAGCAUGUAAACACAUAUGCCCAUAAGCGCUAUUAAUGCAGACAUGCUAAUUGAUCUUUGAUUAAUGGCUUUGUACGUGUGCAUGGCAAAACUAUGUACGUGCAGAUGAUCAUGGAUGUGUAUAUGCAUUGCAAUGAAACCAAGUGCUAGUAUUUCCAUAUUGCAUGCAUUCAAAGCCAGGUCUAACGUGUCCAUCGUAACCUUGGCACGUACAAAUACAUAUAAAAAUGCUUCUGUACGGGCAAGCUCGCACGCGUACAUACCUAAAUACCCACAGGUAUGCCUACAUCAUAUAUGUACAUAUUUGGGUAUCUAUGGACGGCCGACGAGCGUCUCCAAAUACCCACAGUACCCAGCAUGCCAACACGAUGGAUUGAUCAAUGGAAAGAAAGGUAGCACGUUUCUUGCAGCAAGUUUACAAAGGAAUCAAUCGGCCCAUCUACAGCAAGUCGUGCGCGUCAAGAAGGUCUAUGGAAGAAAAAGGAAGGGAACCGGCAUCCAUCGUAGGUACGAGAUUGACUUUCCGUUUCUUUGUACAGACUUGAGCGUCAAGAAGAAUUAUUAAAAGGAAAGAAAUCGGCGGUUGUGCUCCGGUUGCCAUCAAUCCAACACCCAUUGGCUGGCUAUAUAUAGUCAGCGGAGGGAGGCACGUACGGGGGAAGGAGGCAGGAGAAGACGCGCCUGUGGGCGGCAGCGUCGACGAGCGGGGAAGCCAGCAGCAGUUUCCCCCGAGGAAGGCGCGCGGCCGGGAUACCGAGGCAGAGGGAAGGAAGCGCCUCUGGGGGCGGCGUGCUCACCGGUCGACACACAUGUACCCUUGUUUGUCCGGCGCCGGCACCGACGCCAAGAGGACGGGCAGCAGCAAGCGGAACACGCUGGUGGCGACUCGAACAUGGCGGAGCAUGUGUGCAGUAACGCCGAGCAUGCAUCACCAGCAUCGUGAGAUUGAGCGUGUGUCAAGGAUGCAACAUGGAGUUCCAUCUCUCUGGUUAGCAUAAUACUAAGUACAUACAUCUAUUUCUAUUGUGUACCAGGUGAGGAAACACAUGCACAUGCACAUGCACGUACAAGACUCCUCGAGCAGUACAUGGAUGAGUUGCCGCAACUCCUCCUGCGUGCCUCGUUUGGGCAGCACGCCCAGGAGGGAGGCACAAGACAGGCCGUCACGGCAGCGCUGAGAACACACCGGAAAGGUCGCGCCGACGGCGGCGGCACGCUCACCGGGCAACAUACACACGGCCUAGCGCUGUCCGUGGCGGCAGUGCAUACGUACAUCUAUAUAUCUUUUGUGUAUGCAGGAGACCAGGAGGAGAAGCAAACGCGCUCGGGGUGGCAGCGUCGAGGAACAACGAAGUUCCACGGAAGACAGAGGAGAGAAGGGACACGGCAGGCAACCCACGCAGCCAACGUACAAGACGCACGCAACAACACAUCUCGCUGAGGCAAGAUACGCACCCUGGCGGCAGCGUAGAGGAGAAGAAGACGCGCCGAGCAGCGACGUGGCAGCCGCGAUGUAUAGACGAGAAGGACAUGCUCCAAGCGGGAAACCGAGCAUUGAGGGCGCAUGCACCAUCUGCAACGGCGCCGUAAUGAUCUUUCUUUUUCUGCGUGUUAUCAUCUAUUUUGCAGAAUGGCCAUCGAAAAGCAUGCCCAGCAAAGGUGGCCGCGGACGAUACAAUGCUCAUCCCGUACCAGGAGCAGUUGAGGCGGCGGACGACGCGCCCAACGGAGGUGGCCGCGGACCAAGGAGCGCUCUUCUCGUACAAGGUGCUGUCGAGGCGGUGGACAACGCGUCCAACGGAGGUGGCCACACGGACCAUGCAGCGUUGUUCUCGUACACGAUGCCAUGGAAGUGGCGGACGACGCGCUCAACGGAGGUGACUGCAAACGAUGCGGCGCUCUUCUCGUAGGAGCAGUUGAGGCGGUGGACGACGCGCCCAAUGGAGGUGGUCGCGGACGAAGCGACGCUCUUCCCGUACAAGGUUUUGUCGAGGCGGUCGACGACGCGCCCAAUGGAGGUGGCCGCGGGCGAUGCAUCGCUCUUCUCGUACCCAGUGCAAUGGAGGCGAUGGAUGGACGGAGCUCGCUACGACGACGCCUGUCGUCUUCUUCAUCAAGCUGGCGCCAUGGAGGACGAAGGCAUGGAGGCUCGCGAGGAUGCCGCUGUCAUGUCGCGGUGGAUCGCGACACAGAGCUGGCCAGGACGAUGCCCAUCGUCUUCUUCAUCAAGCUGGCGCCAUGGAGGACGAAGGCGUGGAGGCUCGCGAGGAUGCCGCCGCCGUGCCGUGAUGGAUGGCACCACGGAGUUCGACAAGACGACGCCAGUGUCAACUUCAUCAAGCCGGCGCCACGGAGGACGAAGGCGUGGAGGCUCGCGAGGAUGCCACCGACGUGCCACGGUGGAUGGCGCCACGGAUUUCGCCAAGAUGACGUCAAUGUCAACAUCAUCAACCCGGCGCCGCAAGGAUCGUGACAGGGAGCUCGCAAGAAGGACGCCCGCCAUACACUUCGUCAGCUGGAGCUAGAGGACGGAGGCGUGGCGCCCAUUGGGGAUGCUGCCGACGUCUACUUCGUCAAGCUGGAGCCCAGAGGCGUGGAGCUCGCAGGAAUUCUGCCGUGUCCCGUGGAGAAAGGCGAGACGGAGCUCGCUAGGACAAUGCCCGUCUUCUUCUUCAUCAAGUCGGUGCCAUGAAGGACAAAGGCGUGGAGACUCGCAACGGUGGCGCCGUCGUUCCGCGGUAGAUAGCGGCGCGGAGCUCACCAAGAUGACACCAACGCCAAUAUCACCACACCCGUGCCAUGGAGGACGGAGGCGUGAAGCUCGCAAGGAUGCCGCUGCCGUGUCGCGGUGGAUGGCGGCGCAGAGCUCGCCAAGACGACGCCCAUCGCCAACAUCAACCCGGUACCGCGAAGGAUCGUGGCGUGGAGCUCGCAAGGAGGACACCACCAAUGUCUACCUCGUUAAGAUGGAGCCCGCGACCGGGAGCCAUGAAGAUGACACACGCCCUCGGUGCUGCCCUUAACACAGAGCCUGCGAUGAGAAGAAGAUGGCGCUACGCAAUGACGUGGCUUCACCAACCCUUACCACUACAUGGUGCUAUUUGCGACACGAAGCCCAUGAAGACGAGGCAUGAUGGCGAGGAGGCGACGUGACUUCACCAACACUAACUCCCGAUGACCCCAUUAGGAGGCACCCUUGUCUUGGCGAACCACGGAACCUGGCGUCCGGCUGAGACAAGGCAACGCAACAAAUACGAUCAUCUCUCCACAAGUUCGCCAGACGGUGCACCUUGAUAAAGCGGACUGUCAUAGAGAUUUUUGGUCAUAGAACCCCUGGUCCCAAUGUUUAUAGAACUGUCCAGAAUUGAUAAAGAGAAGCAGCUUUGAAGUCAUGGAGAACGAAAAUAGGACCCUCGAGCCCGUCUAGUGAUUAAAGGUCUUGACGUACAGGUCAAUGGCGUCACCGACGUUCAGGUCGCCCUUUGGCGUAGCACCAACCAAGGCGAUGCGGUCUCCACGACACCACCUUUCCACGGCCCUGUGAGGCGGUGCUCUUUGUCUUAACGGACCGCCGAAUACUCGGCGUCUAGCCGAGAUGAGGCGCCAACCACACCGGCCAUGCCGAUGUUAGCGUGCGACGGUUUUACACCGACGCCGGUCUCCGAAGCAACUUACUCCCGCGAGGCAUACCCCUUGCAUACCCCGACGAGUCUGCUAGGUCGUCUAGAAGUCCGAGCCGAGCAGGACCCAUGCAACUUCAACCCCAACUACAUCAUCGCCGCCAAGACCGACGAGGCGUGACGGCGAGGGCGGACGUGGCUAGCAGAAAGCCAUGUUUUGAGCGGCGCGUGUACCGACGAGGACACGGGCUCUGCCGCUGCCCAUACACCACCAUCAUCAUGCAUGGAGAAUGCAAGGCGAUGACGAGAUGACGAGAAGACGACCAUACUGCUUAAUCGAAGGUGUCUCGCGGAGUAACCCGUGGGAAUAAUUAACCGGGAGCCUUUCGAGGCCCUGGGAACCAAGAGACCGCAAUCGCUACAGUCAGGCUGGCCGCACUAGUAGGCCACAGAGCGUAUAUGUAAAGGGAACUUGUAAUUUUGUUUCUCCAAUGAGAGAUUAAUAAAGUACAUGUUUCCCUAUGUUUAUUUGUGUACUUAGUAGACUGGCACGCCCGCAUUUUUCUUUUCCCCGGCGCAUGAGAGAAAUCCACACUCCUUCUCUUCCCUUCUCACAAAGAGCUUAUAAGGUUUUAGUAGCUCAAGCUUAGUUAAGUUAAGCACUUAGUACUAAACAGCAGCAACACUUGAACCGUGACAUGUCCAGAAAGGAAACAAAACAUGAGACCAGUAUUGAUAGCAUGUCCACGAAGGCCGUCCAAUGGUUUCAGCCACAUCCUAAUAAACCUGCAGCAUUCUUUAGCACCUAAUUAUCAGCAAGAAAUCAAUGGCUAGAUGAGCACCACCACAACAAAUCGGCACUAACACUUGGUCAUCGACGCGAUGCCCAAGCAAGGAACCAGCUCGCACACGCAAGAUGAUGAUUGCAUACAUACAAAUCAUGUGCUGGCAGAAAAAAAUCCAAGCAGGAGCUCAUCUUCUCUCUCUGUUUGGUAACUAACAACCUAAAUAAAAUAAAAUAAAAACAUGACUUGUUCAUACAGGUCCCUCUAAAAUUCCUUGGGACAAAUGCAUCACAUAUUCGUCAACUUAGCAGCAGAAGUAGUGAGCACAUGAAGAGGGGGAGGGAGAUGGAGGAGCUACCUGCCGCGGUCGCAAUGGAAGCAGAGGAGCAGACCCCUCCUGCCCCUCCCCCACGAGCAGGACAGGGUUGCCGGCUGGGCACGCUCCUACUCCUCCGCCUCCUUGAUUAGGAGACCCCCUUCCCCUACUGCUGCUUGGCGCGCCGCAUCACUAGUCACCUCCUCAUGCAAGAAGUACACAAUAAAUAGACAGACGGUCAGUGAGGUACAUUUUCACAGCAACAGAAGCUUAAAAUUAACAGAAAUACAGACAUCAAAUGAAGUCACUAAGAUACUUAAGUCCACCACAUGGUGUAGAAUUCUGUGGUAUAUAAUUGCAACACAUGAACCAAAAGAGGAAUAACAUCAUCACCAAGAGUUUCUGAUGAUAAGCAUAGCUCCCUACAAAAAAGAACUAAGGGCACAGUGACUAAAGCAUGCGGACCACAAUAUUCAAAGCAGAAGCAAGCGGGCAGUAUGAGCUACCUACUGGCAAAGUAUAAAACCUGAAUCGUAUUCGUAUAAAUGAAUCAAGGUGGAUCUAUAGUUUUCAAAUUACUGACCAUUAUAGCUUUCAAACUAUAAGAAGCAAAACAGGGACAUCUCAUCAAUAUUAAACAGGGACAUCUUUUAAAAUCACGCUUUCAAACUAUAAAUAUAGUAGUGCAUAGUACAGAGCAAAACAGGGACAUCUCAUCGCAGCAACAUGAAUAAUUCAGGGCCUACUAUGCAACACAAGGACAUUUCCAUGACACAUAAGAAGUUGAACAUAACACAGAGCAUGGUAAAUGUCAGAGAGCUCAUAUGCUGAACUCAUAAGCAUGUCAAGUCCGCUUGCGGCCUAAACAGGUACCUAGAGGAGGGAGCGGGCAUGCAGACGGGACCUGGAGGGUCAUGGGCGAGCUUGUAUUCCUUGUAAGGAAGUAGCCACCGCUGUCGGCCGCCCUAGUCGACCCGGCCUAGACGCUGCCGAGCGUGUUCUUGCGGCCACUGCACCACCCACAUCCUGAAAAACCAGACACACAACAAAAACAUCAGAUCUGAGUCAUAUAUGCUGCGGACAACCGUGAGAGGAAAAUGGAGGAGUGGAUCUGCGGCCGGCGCUGUCGGGGAAGAAGGUGUCCGACGGCGGCCUUGUUGGGGAGAAGGGAGAGUCGAGGAAGCAUCCAGGCAACAAGGAGGGAUUGGGUCUAGUAGCAGGCAUUGGGGAAGCGGCAAGUCGGAGACGCGGCUGUCUCAGCGCGGUAGAUGUCGGGGAGGAGCCUGUAGAGUCGUCGGAGCCGUGCCGGCAAUGGAGGCGCCGCCGCCCCCAAAACCCUAGAGCCACGGGGAAGGCUGCGGGUGUGCUGCUGCGGGAGGAAGAAGGGGGCGGGUGGCCUAAGGGAGAAGGACCGCCGGG